This 77-nucleotide transfer RNA is filed under the name Campostoma anomalum (central stoneroller). RNAcentral describes it as "tRNA-Leu". It matches the Rfam family "tRNA". Rfam says of the family: Transfer RNA (tRNA) molecules are approximately 80 nucleotides in length. Their secondary structure includes four short double-helical elements and three loops (D, anti-codon, and T loops). Lineage: Eukaryota; Metazoa; Chordata; Actinopteri; Cypriniformes; Leuciscidae. The record is from RNAcentral.
UACUGGGGUGGCAGAGCAUGGUAAUUGCGAAAGGCCUAAGCCCUUUAAGUCAGAGGUUCAAAUCCUCUUCCCAGUUU